GCGAGAGUGGCGGAAUUGGUAGACGCGCCGGAUUUAGGAUCCGGUUCUUUUAGAAUGGGAGUUCAAGUCUCCCCUCUCGCA
Molecule: transfer RNA, 81 nt
Filed under: Deltaproteobacteria bacterium
Lineage: Bacteria; Pseudomonadati; Myxococcota; Myxococcia
Description: tRNA-Leu
Rfam family: tRNA
About the family: Transfer RNA (tRNA) molecules are approximately 80 nucleotides in length.
Source: RNAcentral